GACGAACGCUGGCGGCGUGCUUAACACAUGCAAGUCGAACGGGCCCGCCCCUGUUUUUGGGGGUGGGUUGAGUGGCGAACGGGCGAGUAUCACGUGAGUAACCUGCCCCCUGCUCCUGGAUAACUGCUUGAAAGGGCGGCUAAUACGGGGUGUGCCGGCUGGUCCGCAUGGGCCUGGUCGGGAUAGUUUCAUCUUCGGGUGUUUCGGUGGGGGAUGGGCUCGCGGCCUAUCAGCUUGUUGGUGGGGUGAUGGCCCACCAAGGCGGUGACGGGUAGCCGGCCUGAGAGGGUGGGCGGCCACACUGGGACUGAGACACGGCCCAGACUCCUGCGGGAGGCAGCAGUGGGGGGUAUUGCACAAUGGGCGGAAGCCUGAUGCAGCGACGUCGCGUGAGGGAUGGAGGCCUUCGGGUUGUGAACCUCUUUCUCCGGGGGUGAAGGCCCUGUCCGUUGCGGCGGGGUUGACGGUAGCCGGGUAUGAAGCGCCGGCUAACUACGUG
RNAcentral lists this ribosomal RNA (499 nucleotides) under uncultured bacterium. Its description in RNAcentral is "partial 16S ribosomal RNA". It matches the Rfam family "Bacterial small subunit ribosomal RNA", at positions 28 to 507 of the family's 1533-position model. The record is from RNAcentral.